GGGUCCUGCCGAGUCCGAUGAUCGAAGACACGUACAGAGUGCAUGUCACUCGAAACUUCGAGAAAGGUCCCCGGACCUCGGGUAGAAAGUACCGCCGGUUGUUACCGGUUAGCUGCGCUCUACGCCGCGUUGACUGCCAGGGUGUGGUACCGGUAGGAGCGUGGUGUUUGUCAUAGCACAGUAAUGUUUGGAGUCCUAUUCGUCAGAUUAGGAUUACACAACGGGGCCUACUCCGGCAGGACU
Dendroctonus ponderosae (mountain pine beetle) is the source of this 243-nucleotide non-coding RNA. The record is from Rfam. Lineage: Eukaryota; Metazoa; Arthropoda; Insecta; Coleoptera; Curculionidae.